CCAGCAGCCUGUAUGAGAGCAGAUGGGGAGGUGUGUGCAGUGCUCAGUCCUGUUCAGCUCUCAAUUUAUUACUCUUCCUCUUCUCCAGAUCCCAUCUCCAAGGCAGACAUUUGUCCUGGCCACGACACCAGGAGCCCCAGGAGCAGGACAAAUAGACCUUCACCUUGAUGUGAUUGCACUCACUGAUAAGUGAGCCCUGGCCCAGGAGGGCUGCAUGCACGGGGAAGCCUGGAUGAAGUCAUGGAGUAAUCACGGGAAGUGAAGAUAUGGAGCAAAGCUGCAGGAAAAGGAGGCCCGGCGAUGCUAAAUGGCUCACUCAAUAACGCAAAAGUGAAAGCGGUUAGGCCAAGGCUGAGGUCCCUGUUUGCAACAGCCAGCCUGGUCACU
Molecule: long non-coding RNA, 387 nt
Organism: Myotis davidii
Lineage: Eukaryota; Metazoa; Chordata; Mammalia; Chiroptera; Vespertilionidae
Exons: 3
Source: RefSeq, a predicted model, not a curated record